GUGUCAGCAGCCGCGGUAAGACGUGGGGUGCAAGCGUUGUCCGGAAUUACUGGGCGUAAAGGGCGUGUAGGUGGUUUGGUAAGUCACCUUUGAAAGCUCUCGGCUCAACCGAGACUGCGGAGGUGAAACUAUCAGACUGGACGGCAAGAGGGGCAGACAGAAUUCCCGGUGAAGGGGUAAAAUCCGUUGAUAUCGGGAGGAAUACCAGUGGCGAAGGCGGUCUGCUAGCUUGCUCGUGACACUGAGGCGCGACAGUCUGGGGAGCGAAAGGGAUUAGAAACCCCGGUAGUCC
RNAcentral lists this ribosomal RNA (292 nucleotides) under uncultured bacterium. RNAcentral describes it as "partial 16S ribosomal RNA". It matches the Rfam family "Bacterial small subunit ribosomal RNA", at positions 505 to 796 of the family's 1533-position model. The record is from RNAcentral.